Molecule: ribosomal RNA, 433 nt
Filed under: uncultured bacterium
Lineage: Bacteria
Description: partial 16S ribosomal RNA
Rfam family: Bacterial small subunit ribosomal RNA
Source: RNAcentral
AACGAACGCUGGCGGCAUGCCUAACACAUGCAAGUCGAACGAGCCCUUCGGGUCUAGUGGCGCACGGUUUCGUAACGCGUGGGAACCUUCCUUUAGGUUCGGAAUACCUCAGAGAAAUUUAUGCUAAUACCGGAUGAUGUCUUCGGACCAAAGAUUUAUCGCCUUUAGAUGGGCCCGCGUUGGAUUAGCUAGUUGGUGGGGUAAAGGCCUACCAAGGCGACGAUCCAUAGCUGGUCUGAGAGGAUGAUCAGCCACACUGGGACUGAGACACGGCCCAGACUCCUACGGGAGGCAGCAGUGGGGAAUAUUGGACAAUGGGCGAAAGCCUGAUCCAGCAAUGCCGCGUGAGUGAUGAAGGCCUUAGGGUUGUAAAGCUCUUUUACCCGAGAUGAUAAUGACAGUAUCGGGAGAAUAAGCUCCGGCUAACUCCGUG